RNAcentral lists this transfer RNA (76 nucleotides) under Lasioglossum pauxillum. RNAcentral's name for it is "tRNA-Trp". The record is from RNAcentral. Lineage: Eukaryota; Metazoa; Arthropoda; Insecta; Hymenoptera; Halictidae.
AAGAUUUUAAGUUAAAAAAACUUAAAACCUUCAAAGUUUUAAAUAAAUAUUAAAAUUUAUAAUUAUUUAAAUCUUA